CUUAUACAAGAAGCCAAGUCUCAUAAAAGGACUGAUGAGUUUUUGCUUGGAUCUUGAGAACCCUCAGCCUCCAUGCUGGAUGCCUGGCUUCCUUGUGGAAAAGUUCCCAGGAGCACAUACAGCAGCUGCUGUGGAGCACACAAAUAACCUGAGCACUGGAGACAUGAAGGCAGGAGGAUCAGAAGCAUGAGUCAGCCUCCGCUGCAUACUGAGUCUGAGGCCAGCCUGGUAUACAUGGAAUCCUACCUCAAAGAAAUAAACAAAUAAAUACAUUCUCUUACUCUUUGCCUA
Grammomys surdaster is the source of this 291-nucleotide long non-coding RNA. RefSeq lists it as uncharacterized. The transcript has 2 exons. NCBI's taxonomy places the organism in Eukaryota, Metazoa, Chordata, Mammalia, Rodentia, Muridae. The record is from RefSeq and is a predicted model, not a curated record.